CGUUCCUACGGGGCGCAGCAGUAGGGAAUAUUGCUCAAUGGGGGAAACCCUGAAGCAGCAACGCCGCGUGGAGGAUGAAGGUUUUCGGAUUGUAAACUCCUUUUGUUAGAGAAGAUAAUGACGGUAUCUAACGAAUAAGCACCGGCUAACUCCGUGCCAGCAGCCGCGGUCAUACGGAGGGUGCAAGCGUUACUCGGAAUCACUGGGCGUAACGAGCGCGUAGGCGGGAUAGCAAGUCAGAUGUGAAAUUCUAUGGCUUAACCAUA
This 266-nucleotide ribosomal RNA is filed under the name uncultured bacterium. RNAcentral describes it as "partial 16S ribosomal RNA". It matches the Rfam family "Bacterial small subunit ribosomal RNA", at positions 334 to 617 of the family's 1533-position model. The record is from RNAcentral.